Molecule: ribosomal RNA, 402 nt
Filed under: uncultured bacterium
Lineage: Bacteria
Description: bacterial SSU rRNA
Rfam family: Bacterial small subunit ribosomal RNA
Source: RNAcentral
UCGGGAAUUUUGGGCAAUGGGCGAAAGCCUGACCCAGCAACGCCGCGUGAGGGAUGAAGUAUUUCGGUAUGUAAACCUCGAAAGAAUGGGAAGAAUAAAUGACGGUACCAUUUAUAAGCUCCGGCUAACUACGUGCCAGCAGCCGCGGUAAUACGUAGGGAGCAAGCGUUGUUCGGAUUUACUGGGCGUAAAGGGCGCGUAGGCGGCGCGGUAAGUCACUUGUGAAAUCUCUGAGCUUAACUCAGAACGGCCAAGUGAUACUGCUGUGCUAGAGUGCGGAAGAGGCAACCGGAAUUCUUGGUGUAGCGGUGAAAUGCGUAGAUAUCAAGAGGAACACCUGAGCCGAAGGCGGGUUGCUGGGCCGACACUGACGCUGAUGCGCGAAAGCCAGGGGAGCAAACG